UACGUAGGGGGCAAGCGUUAUCCGGAUUCACUGGGUGUAAAGGGAGCGUAGACGGCAUAGCAAGUCUGAAGUGAAAGCCCGUGGCUCAACCGCGGAACUGCUUUGGAAACUGUUAAGCUGGAGUACUGGAGAGGCAAGCGGAAUUCCUAGUGUAGCGGUGAAAUGCGUAGAUAUUAGGAGGAACACCAGUGGCGAAGGCGGCUUGCUGGACAGAGACUGACGUUGAGGCUCGAAAGCGUGGGGAGCAAACAGG
RNAcentral lists this ribosomal RNA (253 nucleotides) under uncultured bacterium. RNAcentral's name for it is "partial 16S ribosomal RNA". It matches the Rfam family "Bacterial small subunit ribosomal RNA", at positions 524 to 776 of the family's 1533-position model. The record is from RNAcentral.